AUCCGAUCUGGAGGGGAGUACCCCCACGCGGCAGGUCGUCACUACGGGAUCGUCCGAUCCCCGGCCCGCCGGCCGUCACCCUCGGGUAGGCGGUGGGAGAGACCUUCGGUACUGAC
This 116-nucleotide unclassified non-coding RNA is filed under the name Blastococcus saxobsidens DD2. Its description in RNAcentral is "yybP-ykoY". The record is from RNAcentral. Lineage: Bacteria; Bacillati; Actinomycetota; Actinomycetes; Geodermatophilales; Geodermatophilaceae.